RNAcentral lists this ribosomal RNA (463 nucleotides) under uncultured bacterium. RNAcentral's name for it is "partial 16S ribosomal RNA". It matches the Rfam family "Bacterial small subunit ribosomal RNA", at positions 28 to 507 of the family's 1533-position model. The record is from RNAcentral.
GAUGAACGCUGACAGAAUGCUUAACACAUGCAAGUCUUUGGCGAAUCUGUGCUUGCACCGGCUAGCCAAGGCGGACGGGUGAGUAACGCGUAAAGAACUUGCCCUGCAGACAGGGAUAACAGAUGGAAACGACUGAUAACACCUGAUACAGUUGCCGGCACGCAUGUGCCUGGCAAUGAAAAGAGAUGCUGCAGGAGAGCUUUGCGUCCUAUUAGCUUGUUGGUGAGGUGACGGCUCACCAAGGCGAUGAUAGGUAGCCGGCCUGAGAGGGUGAACGGCCACAAGGGGACUGAGAUACGGCCCUUACUCCUACGGGAGGCAGCAGUGGGGAAUAUUGGACAAUGGGGGCAACCCUGAUCCAGCAAUUCUGUGUGCACGAAGAAGGUUUUCGGAUUGUAAAGUGCUUUCAGCAGGGAAGAAGAAAGUGACGGUACCUGCAGAAGAAGCGACGGCUAAAUACGUG